This is a long non-coding RNA of Rosa chinensis, 626 nucleotides long. RefSeq lists it as uncharacterized. Lineage: Eukaryota; Viridiplantae; Streptophyta; Magnoliopsida; Rosales; Rosaceae. The record is from RefSeq and is a predicted model, not a curated record. The transcript has 3 exons.
UCUAUAAGGGAUGAUGCACUUGCAAGAGUUUUAGGACCUGAAACUCAUGGACGAGUUCGUGGGCUUGGGUUUGGUGCUACACCAUCUCGAGUCAAUGCUACUAUUCAAGGCAGUGCAAAGGUUAAAGAACUUGAAGCUACUAUAUUAAGUCAAUGACAGAGGCCUGCUUAGGUUGAAGCGAAGCUUGGAGCUCUUUUAAAGGCCACUCAGGAGGGACCUCCUCAACAGAACAGAAACUUAGAGAAACUGAUAAAUGCACAUGCAACUACUUCUCAGUCACAACAAUCAAGUCGACCAAUCAAUGCUCCAAGCAAUGAUCUUGAAAAUAGAAGAUGUGCACUUUUGAAUUGGAACAAUUAUGAAGAAGAUGAAGUGGUGGCUGAAGGGAAGAUCUCUUCAACAAAUCCAAGUACAAAAGUUCAUUGUGUGCCUCUUAGCUUGGACGAGAUUGUUGGAAGGUUUGGGUUGAUGUGGUGUUUGAUGAGUAUCAGACUAUGGAAGUGUAUAGAGCAACCAUGGAUACCAAACAACUUGGUGAAGCUGUAGGAAGCACUCUUGCAUCGCCCAAAAGCUCCAUUAAAAUGCUCCCUUAGUAGUUGAAGUAGCAGGUACAUUUUGCUUUACUA